UUAUAAAAUUAUUAUUUUUUAGAAAAUUAAAAAUAAAAUAAAAUGAAGGGAGGGUGAGGGGGGGCACGGAGAGAGGGUGAUAUGAGCUAAGGUCGUCUCUGAGUCUGAGUCUGAGUCUGAAUCUGAAUCGAAGUAACAGUGAGAGAGAGAGAGAGAGAGAGAGAGAAUUGAAGGCAGGGAUGGGGCAGAGGAACAAGUCGAACAGCAACAGUGGGAGUGGGUCUGACACGGUACACUCACCGCUUGUUGCCUAUGCUUCCAUGAUAUCACUUCUCACACUCUGUCCUCCAUUUGUUAUUCUAUUAUGGUACACCAUGACACUCGCCAACGGAUCCGUUACGCAGACUUGGGAUUACUUCAAUCACAACGGACUGCAAUCUUUCCUUCAUAUAUGGCCCAAGCCCACACUCUUGGCCUACCAAAUCAUCGCCGUCUACGCCGCUUUUGAAGCCGCGCUUCAGCUUCUUUUGCCCGGUGAAACCGUCUACGGCCCAAUUUCUCCAGCCGGUAACCGACCUGUCUACAAGGCAAAUGGCGUCGCAGCGUACUUAGUCACAUUGAUUACGUAUCUUGCCCUUUGGUGGUUUGGAAUAUUCAACCCUACAACUGUUUAUGAUCAUUUGGGAGAGAUAUUCUCGGCACUUAUCUUUGGCAGCUUUGUCUUUUGUAUUUUCUUAUACAUAAAAGGUCAUUUGGCACCAUCUUCUACUGAUUCUGGCUCUUCUGGGAACUUAAUUAUUGAUUUUUACUGGGGAAUGGAGCUCUAUCCACGCAUUGGAAAAUAUUUUGAUAUAAAAGUUUUCACAAACUGCAGAUUUGGAAUGAUGUCAUGGGCUGUUCUUGCACUGACCUACUGCAUAAAGCAGUAUGAAGAAAAUGGGAAAGUAUCUGAUUCAAUGCUUGUAAAUACUACAUUAAUGCUGGUGUAUGUUACCAAGUUUUUCUGGUGGGAAGCUGGAUAUUGGAACACAAUGGAUAUUGCACAUGAUCGAGCUGGAUUUUAUAUUUGCUGGGGUUGCUUGGUGUGGGUUCCAUCUGUGUAUACAUCUCCUGGAAUGUACCUUGUCAACCAUCCUGUAAAUCUUGGCAUACAGCUAGCGCUCUUUAUUUUAGUAGCUGGCAUUCUCUGCAUAUACAUCAACUAUGAUUGUGACAGGCAAAGGCAAGAAUUUCGUAGGACAAAUGGAAAAUGCACAGUUUGGGGAAAAGCUCCUUCAAAGAUCGAGGCCUCCUAUACGACUACUUCUGGGGAAACAAAAAGAAGCCUUCUUUUAACCUCUGGAUGGUGGGGAUUAUCUCGUCAUUUUCAUUAUGUCCCCGAAAUACUAGCUGCUUUCUUCUGGACUGUUCCAGCUCUUUUCAACCAUGUAACCACGACCAUUUCUCUUUUUUGCCUUACUUCUACGUGAUAUUUCUUACCAUCCUCCUCUUUGAUAGAGCAAAAAGGGAUGAUGAUCGAUGCAGAUCCAAGUAUGGCAAGUUCUGGAAACUAUAUUGCGCCAAGGUGCCUUACAGAAUCGUUCCAGGAAUAUACUGAAGAAUGAUUGUUGACAAACGGUGGUCUGGAACCUUCCACCCGGUUUGUAUGCCAUGUGGAAACUAAGGACGCCAUCUGUACUUCUGUGUUGUUUUACCGCCUCUGCAUGGUGCCUCCUUAAGAUGCAUUGUAGACUUUCGCAUAGAACUAGUUCAUUAUUGAACCAAUUUUUUUAGCUAAUGUCGGGACUUGAUUACAACUCUAACUGUGUUUAUCUCUUUAUCUCUAUUUAUGUUAAACGUCUCUUUCCUACUGCCAAUGACUUCGAGAAAGGUGCUUGGCAUCGGAUUUUUAGUUUCUGAUCUAUUUUAAGGUGGUUGUCUUUGUUCUAGCUCUUUUUUACAUUGUACAAUUUCAACUUUUUAUCUGUUCCUUUUCUAUCCUGGGCUCUUGAACCUAUUUUAUAGUAUAUUUU
RNA transcript from Abrus precatorius (Indian licorice), 1952 nucleotides. It is a transcript of the gene named 7-dehydrocholesterol reductase, with no coding region annotated. The transcript has 13 exons. The record is from RefSeq and is a predicted model, not a curated record. Lineage: Eukaryota; Viridiplantae; Streptophyta; Magnoliopsida; Fabales; Fabaceae.